Molecule: long non-coding RNA, 2371 nt
Filed under: Ananas comosus (pineapple)
Lineage: Eukaryota; Viridiplantae; Streptophyta; Magnoliopsida; Poales; Bromeliaceae
Description: long non-coding RNA (ACOM_LNC004166)
Source: RNAcentral
CUUAUAAAUAUUAUUUAUAUAUAUAAUUAAUAAUAUUAUUAUGUUAGGAUUUGGUUAGAUUUGUAGUUAAAGCCUAUUUGGAUAAGAAUUAAUAUUUAAAUUUAUUUGAGAUAAAUUAAGAUUUAAAUAUUAAUUAGAGGAUAAACCUAACUAGAUUAGGAUUAAUAUUUAAAAAUUAAAUCUAUUAGAGAUUGAUUAAGAUAGAUUUAGAUAUUAAUUAAAGUAUGAAUCCUAAAUAUAUUAGGAUUUGAUAUAUUCUUGAUGGAGCAUUAUAUAUAAUGCAUUAGAGUCUCUUUUUGGGGGAGUACGGCUGAAGCUUGGGUGCCGUACCAGAGAGAGAAAAAGAGAGAGAGAGUUAUUUAGUGCUCCUAGUGCACGAGUGCACGCAGAUGGAUUGUCUUUUAGGUUUAUAAAAGACGAGAGAAUGGUAGAAAAGAUUCAGGAAGAGGGCUCGGGUUGUAACUACUCAGUUGCAGAAGAUGAGUCAGGUGUAAUCUUCUCUUCUUUAAAGAAUCUUAUUUUACCUGCAUAUUUUUCUCUUUUAUGAUUGUAUUAGCUUUUGUUGAGGAGACGGGUUUAUGGUAAAAAUCCGAUUUGACGUUUCCGUUGUGGAAUCCCAACAAUCGAUACUGGAUCCACAGCAGUCGGUAUCGGAGCGGGUUGCGGAUUCACGAGAUCCAGUACCGGGGCGAAUACCGGAUUCCCAACAAUCGGUAUCAGAGCCGAAGGUUACCUAUCUGCGGGAGAGAUCGACGGAGAUGGCCACGAAAUUCGAAAUCGAUAAGUUCGACGGCAAGAACAAUUUCGGAUUAUGGCAAAUUAAAGCACGAGCAAUUCUCGUACAGCAAGAGUUAGACGAGACGUUAAACGGGAAGGAGGCAAAGCCGGCGGACGUCACGGAUGCGGCAUGGACGAAGAUGGAGCGGAAGGCGCUGAGUACGCUUCAUCUAUCAUUAGCAGAUGAGGUUCUUUACAAUGUAGGCGGCAAGACGACACCGACGAAAUUGUGGAAGAAAUUGGAAGAUCUGUACAUGACCAAAUCCUUGACGAACAGAUUAUAUCUAAAGCAGCGACUGUUUACGUUGCGGAUGCAAGAAGAGGCGAGCCUACAUGAUCAUCUAAAUGAGUUCAACAAGGUGGUCGCCCAGUUGACCAGCAUCGGAGUCAAUCUGGAUGACGAAGACAAGGGGUUGAUCCUACUAUCUUCGCUACCGACGAUAUAUGAGCAUCUGGUGACCACGUUGCUUGAUGGCAAGGAGUCCAUAAGCGUGGAGGCGGUCACGACGGCGCUUCUCUCGAACGAGAUGCGGAAGAUGACUCAGGAGUCCGGCACGCAAAGUCAGGAUGUAGGACUGGUGGUGACUGCGAAGAAGGAGGCGAGAAUAUCGGCGACUGGAUAUCGGCAGAAGAGACCGCUAUCUGAGGUAGAAUGCUUUUACUGUCACAGGAAGGGGCAUAUCAAGCGCUAUUGUCGAAAACUUCAGGAUGAUCUGAAGGAGUUAAAGCGACAGAAGGUGCAAACUGUCGUGAACCAGGACGAGACGGUAUCAGCGACGGCGGAGACAGCAGAGUCGGAGAUGAUCGAUUCUGAUGUGCUGUAUGCGGCAACCGGAGGUGCGAAAAUUUCGGACGAUGCGUGGGUGCUCGAUUCGGCGUGUUCUUUUCACGUAUGCCCGGAGAAGGAGUCUUUUGCCACCUAUAAGGCGACCAAAGGUGGAAAGGCGCUGAUGGGGAACGGGACAGCAUGCAAAGUAUUGGGAGUCGGCAUGGUGAAAAUUCGAAUGCACGAUGGGGUCGUGAGGACGCUGACAGGUGUGCGGCACGUUCCUGGAUUGAAGCGGAAUUUGAUCUCGUUAGGCGCAUUGGACUCGAAGGGUUGCGAUAUUUCAGCUUCAGGUGGAGCUAUGAGGGUCCGAAAACGAGAUCGGGUCGUAUGCGAGGCGAACAAGCGUGGGAACUUAUACGUUCUGAACGGGAGCACAACCAGAAUGGGAGCGAAGACGGUUUGGGUUCCAAAAGUUCCCGGAUAUGCAGUUGCUCGAGACGGAGCGACGGAUGCGGCGACAUCAAGCGGAGGAGACAAGCUCAAGGUGGAGCUUGCAUGGUGAGCUCGACGUAGCAGUUGAAAAUUACAAAUCAAACCAAGGUGGAGAAUGUUAGGAUUUGGUUAGAUUUGUAGUUAAAUCCUAUUUGAAUAAGAAUUAAUAUUUAAAUCUGUUUGAGAUAAAUUAAGAUUUAAAUAUUAAUUAGAGGAUAAACCUAACUAGAUUAGGAUUAAUAUUUAAAUCUAUUAGAGAUUGAUUAAGAUAGAUUUAGAUAUUAAUUAAAGUAUGAAUCCUAAAUAUAUUAGAUUGGGUACAUUCUUGAUGGA